Molecule: ribosomal RNA, 451 nt
Filed under: uncultured bacterium
Lineage: Bacteria
Description: partial 16S ribosomal RNA
Rfam family: Bacterial small subunit ribosomal RNA
Source: RNAcentral
AACGAACGCUGGCGGCAGGCCUAAUACAUGCAAGUCGAACGCGUGUAGCAAUACACGAGUGGCGCACGGGUGAGGAACACGUGGGAACCUACCCUCUGGUACGGAAUAACCCCGGGAAACUGGAGCUAAUACCGUAUGUCUCCUAAGGGAGAAAGAUUUAUCGCCGGAGGAGGGGCCCGCGUCCGAUUAGCUAGUUGGUGAGGUAACGGCUCACCAAGGCAACGAUCGGUAGCUGGUCUGAGAGGACGAUCAGCCACACUGGGACUGAGACACGGCCCAGACUCCUACGGGAGGCAGCAGUAGGGAAUAUUGGACAGUGGGCGAAAGCCUGAUCCAGCCAUGCCGCGUGAGUGAUGAAGGCCUUCGGGUUGUAAAGCUCUUUUGGCGGGGACGAUGAUGACGGUACCCGCAGAAUAAGCCCCGGCUAACUUCGUGCCAGCCGCCGCGGUAA